UACGUAGGUGGCAAGCGUUGUCCGGAUUUACUGGGCGUAAAGGAUGCGUAGGCGGAUAUUUAAGUCAGAUGUGAAAACCCCGAGCUUAACUUGGGGACUGCAUUUGAAACUGGAUAUCUAGAGUGUGGGAGAGGAGAAUGGAAUUCCUAGUGUAGCGGUGAAAUGCGUAGAGAUUAGGAAGAACACCAGUGGCGAAGGCGAUUCUCUGGACCAUAACUGACGCUGAGGCAUGAAAGCGUGGGUAGCAAACAGG
RNAcentral lists this ribosomal RNA (253 nucleotides) under uncultured bacterium. RNAcentral describes it as "partial 16S ribosomal RNA". It matches the Rfam family "Bacterial small subunit ribosomal RNA", at positions 524 to 776 of the family's 1533-position model. The record is from RNAcentral.